GGCAAGAUGGCCGAGUGGUCUAAGGCGCUGUGUUUAGGCUUGAUUCCUUGUGGAUCUAGACAAAACCGCAGUCUUCACGGGCGUGGGUUCGAAUCCCACUCUUGUCA
Molecule: non-coding RNA, 107 nt
Organism: Periconia macrospinosa
Lineage: Eukaryota; Fungi; Ascomycota; Dothideomycetes; Pleosporales; Periconiaceae
Source: the annotation of a GenBank genome assembly